UCCAGACUCCUACGGGAGGCAGCAGUGAGGAAUAUUGGUCAAUGGGCGAGAGCCUGAACCAGCCAAGUCGCGUGAGGGAAGACGGUCCUAUGGAUUGUAAACCUCUUUUGCCGGGGAGCAACGGGGUCCUUGCGAGGGCCCGAUGAGAGUACCCGGAGAAAAAGCAUCGGCUAACUCCGUGCCAGCAGCCGCGGUAAUACGGAGGAUGCGAGCGUUAUCCGGAUUUAUUGGGUUUAAAGGGUGCGUAGGCGGACGCUUAAGUCAGCGGUAAAAUUGCGGGGCUCAACCUCGUCGAGCCGUUGAAACUGGGUGCCUUGAGUGGGCGAGAAGUACGCGGAAUGCGUGGUGUAGCGGUGAAAUGCAUAGAUAUCACGCAGAACUCCGAUUGCGAAGGCAGCGUACCGGCGCCCAACUGACGCUGAAGCACGAAGGCGUGGGUAUCGAACAGGAUUAGAUACCCCAGUAUA
Molecule: ribosomal RNA, 467 nt
Filed under: uncultured bacterium
Lineage: Bacteria
Description: bacterial SSU rRNA
Rfam family: Bacterial small subunit ribosomal RNA
Source: RNAcentral